GGAGCCAACAAAGACAAAUUGUACUGUUGAAUAUUAACUGACUGCCGGAUCCACUACAAGCCCAGCAGCCAACUAUGACCGCAGCAAGAAUUCCGAAGGUCAAGAGCCACCUCCUUCCUUCUAUUCCUUUGAUGCAAAACAGGAUGGCUCUGGAUGGAGUACAAACUUAAACUGGAGAAGCACAUUCCAGCCUACAAAAUCUCAGGAACUUUGCAACCCAGACUACAGCUCCUGAGCAGCCUCUGCCAGUGCCUGUUGUUUGAGCAUAUGGGACAACAAGACAUCAAUACCUGCCUGCCCAUGCAGCCACAACUGCAGCCAAUGGACCCGUUGUCAUUCACAGUGACAUCGGCCACAGACAUCGAGCCUGUAUUAGCAUCAGUGUUUCGCAAAACAGACAGAGGAGAACCAUCUACAGCGGAACUGAUCACAGUGCAUUUCCUUGCUAACUACCACUUGGACCUGCUGAAGGUGUGGACAGACUGGUGAGAAAGUGUGUUAAAGCUCAUCGAAAAAGUGAAAGUGCUUGUGAAAAUUACUAAAUAUUGAGCAAGCGAAAUUUUCUGUCUAUUGCUACCCAUUAGGAUUUAUUUUGUUUAGCGGGACAGGACUUGUACAAAGUGAUAUGUGUUUUAAAAUGUAAUCCUUGUUUAGCCCAAGAAGGACAUCAUUUAUGAUGAAAAUGCAUAAUUUAUGUUAAAAGUAUAACUUGUGGAUAUUUUGUGAUACACUGUAUACAUACACUGUAUGUAAUUAUUUUUUAUGGGGAUUUUCGUAUGACCAGUUCACAUAACUAUAAAUUUAAAAAGACAUAUGUACUGUAGUUUUGAUAAGAUUUCUUAUGUAAUAUUUGUUUGAGUGUGGACUUUAAACUCAAUUUGUGAGAUCGCUUGAGGCCAUUGAAACACCCAGUUAGCUAUUUGCCAUAUCUAUUUGGUCCAUCCAAUGAGGGGGUGAUGUGACAAAGCAAGCUGGGAUAUUUUUCCUUCCCCUCCUUCCUUGCCUCCUUAAAUUCAUUUUUUCUCUUUUAACAAAUUAGCAUUAACAUAUGUGAAUUUAAUCUGCAUUUUCAUAAAAGAGAAAGGUUGACACUCAUUUUUAGUGAAUAUAACACCAGAUCUAAUUUUGUGCUUAGUUUUAUGUAUGUAAUUAAUUUUCCAAUUUAUUUGAACUAUUCAAUCAGUAAUUGUUUCAUAACUUAAAUUCUACUGUUGAAGUAUAAACAAAUAUAAAUUCUGUACUAGUUAUAAACAUUUGGAGGAACAACUAAAAGUAUUCUUAAAAUAUUUAUGUUGUGACUCGCGAUCAUUCAAAGCGCCACCGCACAAUUAUGCGCGUCUUCUACGUGCAGCGCUGUCUGCCAGCCAUGCAGUAGCUGCGCCACCUAAGCGGCCAUCCGAGCAGCGACCACUAGACUGGGACUCAGUGCUCAUUCGAAUGCCAAGUGUACACAUGUCUUGCUUGUCAACU
Schistocerca gregaria is the source of this 1470-nucleotide long non-coding RNA. RefSeq lists it as uncharacterized. The record is from RefSeq and is a predicted model, not a curated record. NCBI's taxonomy places the organism in Eukaryota, Metazoa, Arthropoda, Insecta, Orthoptera, Acrididae. The transcript is spliced from 3 exons.